AUUCGGCACCUUUCACGAUGGAUCGUCCGGCACGUACCGCCGGUGAAGGGAUGACGCC
Molecule: non-coding RNA, 58 nt
Organism: Actinomyces sp. oral taxon 414
Lineage: Bacteria; Bacillati; Actinomycetota; Actinomycetes; Actinomycetales; Actinomycetaceae
Source: Rfam